GAAGAAUGUGAUACUAGAUGGAAUGCUACGUAUGAUUAUUUAAAAGCUUGUCUUGCUUAUAAAGUUCCUAUUACAUUGACUUUUAACCACUUUUGUGGUUCAUUUGCUAAUUCAGCUGAAUGUAUCCUAAAUGAUUCUGAUUGGGCUACAAUUGGUGAUCUUAUUAAGUUUUUGGAAAUUUUUUAUAUAGCUAGGAUUGAAUUUUUCGAUGCUUAUUAUC
Molecule: long non-coding RNA, 220 nt
Filed under: Capsicum annuum
Lineage: Eukaryota; Viridiplantae; Streptophyta; Magnoliopsida; Solanales; Solanaceae
Description: long non-coding RNA (CANN_LNC001630)
Source: RNAcentral